GCUCCCGUAGCUCAACGGACAGAGCAACUGACUUCUAAUCAGUAGGCUGGGGGUUCGAGUCCCUCCGGGAGCG
RNAcentral lists this transfer RNA (73 nucleotides) under Candidatus Aminicenantota bacterium. RNAcentral's name for it is "tRNA-Arg". It matches the Rfam family "tRNA". From Rfam's summary of the family: Transfer RNA (tRNA) molecules are approximately 80 nucleotides in length. The record is from RNAcentral. Lineage: Bacteria; Candidatus Aminicenantota.